RNAcentral lists this long non-coding RNA (1357 nucleotides) under Vulpes vulpes (red fox). Its description in RNAcentral is "lncRNA (ENSVVUG00000000348.1)". Lineage: Eukaryota; Metazoa; Chordata; Mammalia; Carnivora; Canidae. The record is from RNAcentral.
CUGGACAAGCGCUCUAAAUCAAGCCAGUGGCAUGAGAUCACCCUGGCUCUAGCAUUUUGGAAGAAGAUGACCAUUUUGGAAGAAGCAGCCCAAUGAGAAAAUAGGAGACUUCUUCGAGUCUGGUGUUUGUGCGUCCAUGCAAAGACGCUACGUUGCUUUAGGACGCCAAACAGAGAAGUCACGCGGCAUGAGAAGGCUAAAAAUAAGCAGUUUUCUAAUUUCCCACGAAACCACCCUUGUUUAAGCCUAAGAUGUAAGAUGCAGUAUUCUCUCUUAGGGAACCAUUAAGGAUAAAGAAUCAACGUGAACUGAGUCUCAUAACGUGUUUUAUUUCAUUUAGUCCCUUGGCAUUUUGAGGUGGGUGUCAGGGUCCUCCCUUCACUGACAGGGAAACAACUCUAAGAGGAUCACCACGGCCAAGCUGCCACUCAAGCCAACACCUGCUCGACUUCAAGAGCCAGGCUUUUUUCUACUACCCGUCGUGUUUUGUUUUCUCCCCUCCCGUUUCGUUUGCAUUAGGUGUAGGGACUACAGCUACCCUGUCACCCACGGUCGCUGCGAAAUGUCGCUUACGGUCAGGCCCCCAGAACGGUCACGCGCCCUCCCCUCCUGAGGUGUCUCCGAAACUCGAGCUCCACCGACGAGAAGCGCAGGCCUGAGGCACCGACGCCAGCGCCAGCGCCAGCGCCAGCCCCAGCGUGGCCUCAGGAGCCCGGAAGGCGCCCCCGGGGCGCGUUUACAACACUGUCGUAAAGCGGCGGCUGCCGACAGCCGGCCUCGAGGCGCCGUCGAGGAGCUCGGCGGAGAAAGGAGAUGGAGGAAGGCUGAGGGCCGGGUGACGCCGAAUGGAGACGAGGCGCGGGGUGAAUGGUUGGAGAAGGGAGAGUGAAUGCGGAUUAUCAGGAGAACACAAAUUAAACCACCAAAAUGAAGCUGAAAGGAGUGUUAUCAUGAAAGUUUAUUGGAUUAGGGCCGAGUUUCCACCCUCCUAUGAUGCCAGGAUUUUCCAACAACCAAGCCAAGUUACAUCUUGCCUUAAUAUAAAGAAGAAUGCAGAAAAACCCGACAGCUGAGAGGGAAAGUAAAGAAGCAAGGAGAAGUUGAUGUUUUCUUGGAUUUCUACAGAUUGUGAUCAAACUGUUUAUUGACAAGACCAUUCUCUCUUGGGAUCCUGGGUGGCGCAGCGGUUUAGCGCCUGCCUUUGGCCCAGGGCGCGUUCCUGGAGACCCGGGAUGGAAUCCCACGUCAGGCUCCCGGUGCAUGGAGCCUGCUUCUCCCUCUGCCUGUGUCUCUGCCUCUCUCUCUCUCUCUCUCUGUGACUAUCAUAAAUAAAUAAAAAUUAAAAAAAAAAAGACCA